Molecule: long non-coding RNA, 398 nt
Organism: Mercurialis annua (annual mercury)
Lineage: Eukaryota; Viridiplantae; Streptophyta; Magnoliopsida; Malpighiales; Euphorbiaceae
Exons: 2
Source: RefSeq, a predicted model, not a curated record
GCUAGUUUAGAAUUUAUUUUAAUUGCAUUUUGUAUCGAUUUUCGAAUUAGAUCUGAGGAGGCAACCACUUGCGGGAUCCGGAACUCGAGGAGUUUAACGGAGUUCUUGCUUGUUGGGUUAUUUUUGGAUAGCAAGUCAUACGAGGUUAACUCGGUUGAACUAUCUCGGGACUCACAGCUUGGGAUUAAGAUGUGGCAUGAGUUAACUCGGUCGAACUAUCUCGGGACUAUCGUGGUGGCGGUUAACUCGGUUGAAUUAGUUUGGGACCGUACCACUUCGGUUAAUUUGAUUUGAGAUAACACAAAUAGUAUAAGUACUUUGAAGGGAAGUUUAGUCCAUUCACAUUACGAUUAAGAGUAGGGUUUUGAUCAGAUCUAAUAUUUUUGUUUAUUUUGAUA